Molecule: unclassified non-coding RNA, 586 nt
Filed under: Hevea brasiliensis (rubber tree)
Lineage: Eukaryota; Viridiplantae; Streptophyta; Magnoliopsida; Malpighiales; Euphorbiaceae
Source: RNAcentral
GUGACACUUGCCUAGUUGUUGCUAUUAUCACAUCAUACGCCUGAAAUGCUUGUGAAAUAAGUAUUGAUUAUUCUAUUUAAUGUAACUUUGGAGCAUUGGAUCUCUAGAACUUUAGCUUCACAGCAAGUCAAAUCCCAUUUUAGCCUUUUCCAUUUUUGUUCCUGUCUUGAUCUUGAUGAAAUGAACUCUCAACCCUGUGCCAGUCUUACCAUUGAGGGAAGACCUUGUGGAUAAUAGUGUGGCACUUCUGAUGAUACAAAUGCGCCUUAAGCUACCUGGCUAGGCUAUGGGUUUUUAAGCUGGUUUAUUCUGGAAUUAUAAUUGGGAAUUUAUAAUUGUUUUGGUGGUAAUUAAAAGGUUGAAAUUAUAUAUUUUAUAACAAUAUUUUCCUCUUACAAAAUAUUCAUAUGAAUUUGUUGCUUUGCAAAAUUAUUAGUUGUCUUUUUGUUGUCUUUUUUCUUCCCCAAGAAAUUUGCUGAGUUAUUGAUUUACAUCAAUUUAACUCGGAGCUACUGUUUCAACAAAUACCCAUAUGAUUUAACUAUUGACUUUAUUCCAUGUGUAUCAGUAUUAUUAGUAGGUGCAG